UGAGGAAUUUUGCGCAAUGGGAGCAACCCUGACGCAGCAACGCCGCGUGAGUGAGGAAGGUUUUCGGACCGUAAAGCUCUGUCGAGCGGGAAGAAAUGUAUCGUGGCUAAUAUCCAUGAUAUUUGACGGUACCGCUAAAGGAAGCACCGGCUAACUCCGUGCCAGCAGCCGCGGUAAUACGGGGGGUGCAAGCGUUGUUCGGAAUUAUUGGGCGUAAAGAGCGUGUAGGCGGCUGAAUAAGUCAGAUGUGAAAUCCCUGGGCUUAACCCAGGAAGUGCAUUUGAAACUAUUCAGCUUGAGUAGGGGAGAGGAAAGUGGAAUUCCUGGUGUAGAGGUGAAAUUCGUAGAGAUCGGGAGGAAUAUCAGUGGCGAAGGCGCCCAUCUGGACGGUAACUGACGCUGAGACGCGAAAGCGUGGGGAGCAACCA
RNAcentral lists this ribosomal RNA (428 nucleotides) under uncultured prokaryote. RNAcentral describes it as "bacterial SSU rRNA". It matches the Rfam family "Bacterial small subunit ribosomal RNA", at positions 355 to 774 of the family's 1533-position model. The record is from RNAcentral.